GAUUGAACGCUGGCGGUAUGCUUAACACAUGCAAGUCGAACGGAAACGAUACUAGCUUGCUAGUAGGCGUCGAGUGGCGGACGGGUGAGUAACGCGUAGGAAUCUGCCUGAUAGUGGGGGAUAGCCCGAAGAAAUUCGGAUUAAUACCGCAUAAUCUAUUCGUAGUAAAGUGGGGGACUUUCGAGCCUCACGCUAUCAGAUGAGCCUGCGUAAGAUUAGCUUGUUGGUAGGGUAAAAGCCUACCAAGGCGACGAUCUUUAGCUGGUCUGAGAGGAUGAUCAGCCACAUCGGGACUGAGACACGGCCCGAACUCCUACGGGAGGCAGCAGUGGGGAAUAUUGGACAAUGGGGGCAACCCUGAUCCAGCAAUACCGCGUGUGUGAAGAAGGCCUGAGGGUUGUAAAGCACUUUCAAUUGUGAAGAAAAGUUAGCGGUUAAUAACCGUUAGCCUUGACGUUAACUUUAGAAGAAGCACCGGCUAACUCCGUGCCAGCAGCCGCGGUAAUACGGAGGGUGCAAGCGUUAAUCGGAAUUACUGGGCGUAAAGCGUGCGUAGGCGGUUUAUUAAGUCAGAUGUGAAAGCCCCGGGCUUAACCUGGGAACUGCAUUUGAAACUGGUCAACUAGAGUAUGGUAGAGGAAAGUGGAAUUUCCGGUGUAGCGGUGAAAUGCGUAGAUAUCAGAAGGAACAUCAAUGGCGAAGGCAGCUUUCUGGACCAAUACUGACGCUGAGGUACGAAAGCGUGGGUAGCAAACAGGAUUAGAUACCCUGGGUAGUCCACGCCGUAAACGAUGAUAACUAGCCGUUGGGGGGAUUUACCCUUUAGUGGCGAAGCUAACGCGUUAAGUUAUCCGCCUGGGGAGUACGGCCGCAAGGUUAAAACUCAAAGGAAUUGACGGGGACCCGCACAAGCGGUGGGGCAUGUGGUUUAAUUCGAUGCAACGCGAAGAACCUUACCUGGUCUUGACAUCCUGCGAACUUUCUAGAAAUAGAUUGGUGCCUUCGGGAACGCAGUGACAGGUGCUGCAUGGCUGUCGUCAGCUCGUGUCGUGAGAUGUUGGGUUAAGUCCCGUAACGAGCGCAACCCCUAUCCUUAUUUGCCAGCACAUCAUGGUGGGAACUAUAAGGAGACUGCCGGUGAUAAACCGGAGGAAGGCGGGGACGACGUCAAGUCAUCAUGGCCCUUACGACCAGGGCUACACACGUGCUACAAUGGGAAGGACAAAGAGCCGCGAAGCCGCGAGGUGUAGCUAAUCUCAUAAACCUUUUCGUAGUCCGGAUUGGAGUCUGCAACUCGACUCCAUGAAGUCGGAAUCGCUAGUAAUCGUAGAUCAGAAUGCUACGGUGAAUACGUUCCCGGGUCUUGUACUCACCGC
This 1376-nucleotide ribosomal RNA is filed under the name uncultured bacterium. RNAcentral describes it as "bacterial SSU rRNA". It matches the Rfam family "Bacterial small subunit ribosomal RNA", at positions 27 to 1393 of the family's 1533-position model. The record is from RNAcentral.